ACGAGAAGACCCUAUAGAAUUUUAUUUAAUUAUAAGAUUUGAAUUUUAGUAAUUGAAUUUUAAAUUUUUAUAUGAGAAUUUGAUUGGGGUGAUUGAAAAAUUUAUUAAACUUUUUUUUGAAUUUUAGUCAUAGAUUUAUGAUCUAUUGAUCCAAUAUUGUUGAUUAUAAGAUUAAAUUACCUUAGGGAUAACAGCGUAAUUUUUUUAGAGAGUUCUUAUCGAUAAAAGAGAUUGCGACCUCGAUGUUGGAUUAAAAUUAAUUUUUAAUGUAGGAGUUAAAAAAUUAGGUCUGUUCGACCUUUAAAAUUUUACAUGAUCUGAGUUUAAAUCGGCGUGAGCCAGGUUGGAUUCUAUCUUUAAUAAAAUUGAAUAUUUUAGUACGAAAGGACCAGAUAUUUAUUAUAAUAAUUUAUUUAGAAUAUUA
This 424-nucleotide ribosomal RNA is filed under the name Anillochlamys cullelli. Its description in RNAcentral is "partial 16S ribosomal RNA". The stretch from base 187 to 345 matches the Rfam family "Bacterial large subunit ribosomal RNA", at positions 2473 to 2632 of the family's 2925-position model. The record is from RNAcentral. Lineage: Eukaryota; Metazoa; Arthropoda; Insecta; Coleoptera; Leiodidae.